AAAACAUCGCCUCUUGCAAAAGUAAAGAAUAAGAGGUCCUGCCUGCCCAGUGACUAUAUGUUUAACGGCCGCGGUAUUUUGACCGUGCGAAGGUAGCGCAAUCACUUGUCUUUUAAAUAAAGACCGGUAUGAAUGGCAAGACGAGGGCCUAACUGUCUCCUCUUUCGAGUCAAUGAAAUUGAUCUCCCCGUGCAGAAGCGGGGAUAACCUCAUAAGACGAGAAGACCCUAUGGAGCUUUAGACACGAAAGCAGCUUAUGUCAAGCACCCUAAAAUAACAGCCUGAACUAAAUAUGCCUGCCCGAAUGUCUUUGGUUGGGGCGACCGCGGGGAAAUAAAUAACCCCCAUGUGGAAUGGGAGUAACCUCCUCCUAAAGCCAAGAGUGACAGCUCUAAGCAACAGAACUUCUGACCUAUCAGAUCCGGCUAUGCCGAUCAACGGACCGAGUUACCCUAGGGAUAACAGCGCAAUCCUCUUUUAGAGCCCGUAUCGACAAGGGGGUUUACGACCUCGAUGUUGGAUCAGGACAUCCUAAUGGUGAAGCCGCUAUUAAGGGUUCGUUUGUUCAACGAUUAAAGUCCUACGUGAUCUG
RNAcentral lists this ribosomal RNA (592 nucleotides) under Prionotus scitulus (leopard searobin). RNAcentral's name for it is "partial 16S ribosomal RNA". It matches the Rfam family "Bacterial large subunit ribosomal RNA", at positions 1810 to 2607 of the family's 2925-position model. The record is from RNAcentral. Lineage: Eukaryota; Metazoa; Chordata; Actinopteri; Perciformes; Triglidae.